AGGGCUUUGAUUUGAGUUAGGAAGGAAAGAUGGAGGAGAAAUGCUCUGCGGCUGAAUUUGCACUGUGUCUGAGGUUGGUACAGCUUUGAAAGGACCAUCACCAAAAGGAUCCUCAAACAUCUGCAAGAAAAGCGCAAACUUCAGUCAUCUACCAGAGAAAGAAGCCCGAGGAUCAAAUUCAUCAAAGCUCUCAAUAUCAUUGUUCUCUGGUGGAGCAGCAACUGGUACUGGAAUGGGCAAUGAAGCAGCAGCUGGUGCAGGAGCAGGGGUGGUUUCUUGUUUUGGACUUCCAAUUGCGUGAGUGAAGAAGAUUUAGGAGCAGAUGCUGAAGCUAUUUCCACAUUCCUUUUACAACGAAAAAUAAAAAUCAAUACAGAAUUUGCAAGAAAAAAGAAGUUCGGUUAAGAAUCUUCUCACACAACUAUUACCUUUCGCUGUGUGUGGGGCUUCGUGACGCACCAAUAGCUUCCUCAUAACUGGGAGGUGCAUCAAGGUUUUGUUCAGAAAAUCCUCUUUCAAGCUGCAUGGCAUUAACACUGAAAUUGAACAUGUAAAUUUUGUCAGAAAGGGAACCAUUCCCUAAUUAGUUUAUUGUUUGUUGUAUA
Lycium barbarum (goji berry) is the source of this 605-nucleotide long non-coding RNA. RefSeq lists it as uncharacterized. The transcript has 2 exons. NCBI's taxonomy places the organism in Eukaryota, Viridiplantae, Streptophyta, Magnoliopsida, Solanales, Solanaceae. The record is from RefSeq and is a predicted model, not a curated record.